GGGGCUGUAGUUCAGUUGGGAGAACGUUUGACUGGCAGUCAAAAGGUCACGGGUUCGAGUCCCGUCAGCUCCACGA
This 76-nucleotide transfer RNA is filed under the name bacterium. RNAcentral's name for it is "tRNA-Ala". It matches the Rfam family "tRNA". From Rfam's summary of the family: Transfer RNA (tRNA) molecules are approximately 80 nucleotides in length. The record is from RNAcentral.